UCGGGUGUGGUGCACGGUGCACCGCUGCAAUCCGUGGAUAAUGAUUGGGUUUGAAUCAGCAGCGAGCCGGGGUUCGACUCCCCGCACCCGAA
Molecule: non-coding RNA, 92 nt
Organism: Mycena leptocephala
Lineage: Eukaryota; Fungi; Basidiomycota; Agaricomycetes; Agaricales; Mycenaceae
Source: the annotation of a GenBank genome assembly